RNAcentral lists this long non-coding RNA (488 nucleotides) under Pongo abelii (Sumatran orangutan). RNAcentral describes it as "lincRNA". Lineage: Eukaryota; Metazoa; Chordata; Mammalia; Primates; Hominidae. The record is from RNAcentral.
GCUACACCCUGCAAGAUCAUGAUCAUUAGCUGCACUUUACAGGAGAGGAAGCUGAGGCUCAGAGAAGCAAACUGCCCUCCUACUUAUGUUGAAGACUUUCCCAUCCUAUGAGCCCAGGUGGGAGAAGCUGAAAAUGGCAGAAGGUCACUUUUCCAGCUGCCCUGUGCCUGGUGAGCCUGUGAUACAGACCCCAUUGCUCAUAUAUCCACCCAGUUUGGUGCCAUAAGUGGUAGCACUUCAGGGCCAAGGAGUUUGAAGAAGUCCAAGGUAGAGCUUUCUGGAAAAUCCUCUGGAGAGGAUGAUCAGAAACCUUCUCCCACAUAAACAAAGAACCCAGGAAGAAGCUAAAAAUGGGCCAUGAGAUUGUCUUUAUUCAUCAAGCCUGAAGUUUUCUGACUCUAUCUUUCUUUUCCCGUGGCCACUGUUACCUCUCCAGACCAGACCCCACCACCUGAAUUCUGCCUGAGCCUCGACAGAUAUGUUCAACU